GACGAACGCUGGCGGCGUGCCUAAUACAUGCAAGUAGAACGCUGAAGAGAGGAGCUUGCUCUUCUUGGAUGAGUUGCGAACGGGUGAGUAACGCGUAGGUAACCUGCCUUGUAGCGGGGGAUAACUAUUGGAAACGCUAGCUAAUACCGCAUAACAAUGGAUGACAUAUGUCAUUUAUUUGAAAGGGGCAAUUGCUCCACUACCAGAUGGACCUGCGUUGUAUUAGCUAGUAGGUGAGGUAAUGGCUCACCUAGGCGACGAUACAUAGCCGACCUGAGAGGGUGAUCGGCCACACUGGGACUGAGACACGGCCCAGACUCCUACGGGAGGCAGCAGUAGGGAAUCUUCGGCAAUGGGUGCAACCCUGACCGAGCAACGCCGCGUGAGUGAAGAAGGUUUUCGGAUCGUAAAGCUCUGUUGUAAGUCAAGAACGGGUGUGAGAGUGGAAAGUUCACACUGUGACGGUAGCUUACCAGAAAGGGACGGCUAACUACGUG
This 497-nucleotide ribosomal RNA is filed under the name uncultured bacterium. RNAcentral describes it as "partial 16S ribosomal RNA". It matches the Rfam family "Bacterial small subunit ribosomal RNA", at positions 28 to 507 of the family's 1533-position model. The record is from RNAcentral.